AGAAUACAUGGCGUCAAACGGUGGCUAACAUUCCUCUUCCAUUGCACAACCCCUAGGCUUCCCCAAUUGAGUAUCCCAUUGCUUGCAUCAUUCGAAGAGCUUUCGCAUCGUAUACCUUAAGCCCCUUAGAAAUAGGGCAUUACAGCUUCCAAUUCAAAUCUUUAAACAGUGUAGCAGGCGUGUUAGGCUAGAUAGCUGGAUCUGGGGCAUUACCACUGGGUAUAUCCAGGUACCUCAACCUUUUG
Molecule: long non-coding RNA, 245 nt
Filed under: Panax ginseng (ginseng)
Lineage: Eukaryota; Viridiplantae; Streptophyta; Magnoliopsida; Apiales; Araliaceae
Description: long non-coding RNA (PGIN_LNC016901)
Source: RNAcentral